Molecule: ribosomal RNA, 440 nt
Filed under: uncultured bacterium
Lineage: Bacteria
Description: partial 16S ribosomal RNA
Rfam family: Bacterial small subunit ribosomal RNA
Source: RNAcentral
CCUACGGGAGGCAGCAGUGGGGAAUAUUGGACAAUGGGGGGAACCCUGAUCCAGUGAAGCCGCGUGAGUGAAGAAGGCUUUCCGUGUGUAAAGCUCUAUCAGCAGGGAAGAAAAUGACUGUACCUGACUAAGAAGCCCCGGCUAACUACGUGCCAGCAGCCGCUGUAAUACGUCGGGGGGAAGCGUUAACCGGAUUUACUGGGUGGAAAGGGAGCGUAGACGGUGCAGCAAGUCUGAUGUGAAAGGUUCGGGGCCAACCCCGGGAGUGCAUUGGAAACUGUUGAACUGGAGUACAGGAGAGGUAAGCGGAAUGCGUAGUGUAGCGGUGAAAUGCGUAGAUAUUAGGAGGAACACCAGUGGCGAAGGCGGCUUACUGGAGCGUAACUGACGUUGAGGCUCGAAAGCGUGGGGAGCGAACAGGAUUAGAUACCCCAGUAGUC